AACGAACGCUGGCGGCAUGCCUAACACAUGCAAGUCGAACGAGACCUUCGGGUCUAGUGGCGCACGGGUGCGUAACGCGUGGGAACCUGCCCUUAGGUUCGGAAUAACUCCCCGAAAGGGGUGCUAAUACCGGAGAAUGUCUUCGGACCAAAGAUUUAUCGCUUUUGGAUGGGCCCGCGUUGGAUUAGCUAGUUGGUAGGGUAAAAGCCUACCAAGGCGACGAUCCAUAGCUGGUCUGAGAGGAUGAUCAGCCACACUGGGACUGAGACACGGCCCAGACUCCUACGGGAGGGAGCAGUGGGGAAUAUUGGACAAUGGGCGAAAGCCUGAUCCAGCAAUGCCGCGUGAGUGAUGAAGGCCUUAGGGUUGUAAAGCUCUUUUACCCGGGAUGAUAAUGACAGUACCGGGAGAAUAAGCUCCGGCUAACUCCGUG
Molecule: ribosomal RNA, 433 nt
Filed under: uncultured bacterium
Lineage: Bacteria
Description: partial 16S ribosomal RNA
Rfam family: Bacterial small subunit ribosomal RNA
Source: RNAcentral